CCUACGGGAGGCAGCAGUGAGGAAUAUUGGUCAAUGGACGAGAGUCUGAACCAGCCAAGUAGCGUGAAGGAUGACUGCCCUAUGGGUUGUAAACUUCUUUUAUAUGGGAAUAAAAUGUUCCACGUGUGGGAUUUUGUAUGUACCAUAUGAAUAAGGAUCGGCUAACUCCGUGCCAGCAGCCGCGGUAAUACGGAGGAUCCGAGCGUUGUCCGGAUUUAUUGGGGUUAAAGGGAGCGUAGGUGGAUUGUUAAGUCAGUUGUGAAAGUUUGCGGCUCAACCGUAAAAUUGCAGUUGAAACUGGCAGUCUUGAGUACAGUAGAGGUGGGCGGAAUUCGUGGUGUAGCGGUGAAAUGCUUAGAUAUCACGAAGAACUCCGAUUGCGAAGGCAGUUCACUGGACUGCAACUGACACUGAGGCUCGAAAGUGUGGGUAUCAAACAGGAUUAGAUACCCGAGUAGUC
Molecule: ribosomal RNA, 460 nt
Filed under: uncultured bacterium
Lineage: Bacteria
Description: partial 16S ribosomal RNA
Rfam family: Bacterial small subunit ribosomal RNA
Source: RNAcentral